Molecule: transfer RNA, 96 nt
Filed under: Variibacter gotjawalensis
Lineage: Bacteria; Pseudomonadati; Pseudomonadota; Alphaproteobacteria; Hyphomicrobiales; Nitrobacteraceae
Description: tRNA-Ala
Source: RNAcentral
CGGCGCGCGCCGCGCCGGCGCGCGUGCUGACGCUCGCAGUGUCGGAUGUCCCGGGCGACGAUCCGGACGUUAUCGGCUCCGGCCCGACGGUGCCGG